AUUGUGUUCAACGAGCCAUUAAAUAUGACAAAGUUAGUUGGUAUACAUGGUUGGUGAGUAUAUAAAUUUUGAGACGUGGAGAAGCUAAGUUCAUUUUCUUUCGUUGUGGUGGAAAAAGUUGUGUUCUAAGUUGUUUCAGUUGUGAAAUAUGAUGCCGAGCUGUAUUGCGAAGCUGUCAAUAUUCUAUCAUUCACAGUUGCCAUGGUGGUGAAAAUGAAGAUGAACCAUACUCGUGGUUGAAGAUGAAGGAGAGGGAACCGAUUCCCCUUUAGGUGGAAUCGAUUCCACUAUGCAACAAGACACAAAAAUGGAAUUGAUUACAACAAAGCUCGUAACAGAUUCCAACAAGGUGUAGCCGAU
This 360-nucleotide small RNA is filed under the name Vigna angularis var. angularis. RNAcentral describes it as "Non-protein coding transcript". The record is from RNAcentral. Lineage: Eukaryota; Viridiplantae; Streptophyta; Magnoliopsida; Fabales; Fabaceae.